This is a long non-coding RNA of Dermacentor silvarum, 958 nucleotides long. RefSeq lists it as uncharacterized. Lineage: Eukaryota; Metazoa; Arthropoda; Arachnida; Ixodida; Ixodidae. The record is from RefSeq and is a predicted model, not a curated record. The transcript has 2 exons.
AGUCCUUGUUUAUCGGCAAAAUGUUAAAACUUUAUGCCCGAGUAGACUUUUUUUCAAAUGCAUGACGUCACGGGCAGCUAUAGUGCGAGAACUUCAAGAUGUUGUCGCCACUAGUCUGAUUUUUCUUAAAUUAUUAUUGCGCCCUUUUCCUGGCUUACCAACUCCACGGGCGAGGCAGGACUGACAUUUUAGGUUUUCCAGAUGUGUAAUUUACGAAUAUGGAUUGAUUUUUUUUUCAAUUCCUCUUUAGUACGUAUCCCAUAAUCGCAUAUAUGGAAACUGACAACCCAACUGCCGAAUAGGUUAGAUGUUACAAACGAAGCCGCGCCAGGCUUAAUAAAGCCUGUGCAACUGCUGCAUUCACCAAAACAUUAAAGGGGCAGUAAAGAGAAACAGUAAAACCAGUUUACAGUGAUCUUGGCUGUCGCGGCUCGGUAAAUGCCAUUGAAGCUUGUCAAGUUAAGUCUGUGGACGCUUUUUGGAAUGCAGCGUCGGUCAUAUUUACCAACAAAAACUUAACUUGGCCUGACGUCACGACGUCAAGUCUUGACGUCACGGCGAAGUGGUGCGGGAACUUCAAAGGAGAAGCCUUCUCACAAUGUAACUUCUUGGAAUUGUAGACCCCGGGUAUAAUUUACUACUACACGCUCGAAUUAUUUUUUCUAUGUAGUGUCCCUUAAACACGAAACACGAACUAAGUGCUUCUGGCUUCCGCAAAGUAUAUAGUAGUACGAAAGCUACCUUUCUGCGAAGGUGCAGGUCAGAUUGGCCAGGCAUUUUUCUCUCUUUCCAGUUUUGCUUUACAACGUGACAUCUAAGUUAGCCUUUGGACGUGCGAAAAACUCCUUCUAGAAAGGAACAGGCAGUCCAGUUACGUAUACGUCUGCUUUCACCCGGAAGAGCUCAGCGGUCAAAGCAACGGCGCCGUAGACUUCUAGUUUCGCCAGCCCUGAGAACA